CUACGGGGCGCUGCAGUGGGGAAUAUUGGACAAUGGGCGCAAGCCUGAUCCAGCAAUACCGCGUGUGUGAAGAAGGCCUGCGGGUUGUAAAGCACUUUCAAUUGUGAAGAAAAGCGAGAGGUUAAUAGCCUUUUGUCUUGACGUUAACUUUAGAAGAAGCACCGGCUAACUCUGUGCCAGCAGCCGCGGUAAUACAGAGGGUGCGAGCGUUAAUCGGAAUUACUGGGCGUAAAGCGUGCGUAGGCGGUUUAGUAAGUCAGAUGUGAAAGCCCUGGGCUCAACCUGGGAACUGCAUUUGAAACUGCUGAACUAGAGUGUGGUAGAGGGAAGUGGAAUUCCGGGUGUAGCGGUGAUAUGCGUAGAUAUCCGGAGGAACACCAGUGGCGAAGGCGACUUCCUGGACCAACACUGACGCUGAGGUACGAAAGCGUGGGUAGCAAACAGGAUUAGAUACCCGAGUAGUC
This 464-nucleotide ribosomal RNA is filed under the name uncultured bacterium. Its description in RNAcentral is "partial 16S ribosomal RNA". It matches the Rfam family "Bacterial small subunit ribosomal RNA", at positions 339 to 795 of the family's 1533-position model. The record is from RNAcentral.